GACGAACGCUGGCGGCGUGCCUAAUACAUGCAAGUCGAGCGAAGUUUUUCUGGUGCUUGCACCGGAAAAACUUAGCGGCGAACGGGUGAGUAACACGUAAAGAACCUGCCUCAUAGACUGGGACAACUAUUGGAAACGAUAGCUAAUACCGGAUAACAGCAUUAACUGCAUGGUUGAUGUUUAAAAGUUGGUUUUGCUAACACUAUGAGAUGGCUUUGCGGUGCAUUAGCUAGUUGGUGGGGUAAAGGCCUACCAAGGCGACGAUGCAUAGCCGACCUGAGAGGGUGAUCGGCCACACUGGGACUGAGACACGGCCCAGACUCCUACGGGAGGCAGCAGUAGGGAAUCUUCCGCAAUGGGCGAAAGCCUGACGGAGCAACGCCGCGUGAGUGAAGAAGGAUUUCGGUUCUUAAAGCUCUGUUGUUAGGGAAGAAUGAUUGUGUAGUAACUAUACACAGUAGAGACGGUACCUAACCAGAAAGCCACGGCUAACUACGUG
Molecule: ribosomal RNA, 499 nt
Filed under: uncultured bacterium
Lineage: Bacteria
Description: partial 16S ribosomal RNA
Rfam family: Bacterial small subunit ribosomal RNA
Source: RNAcentral